RNAcentral lists this non-coding RNA (20 nucleotides) under Trypanosoma vivax. The record is from RNAcentral. Lineage: Eukaryota; Euglenozoa; Kinetoplastea; Trypanosomatida; Trypanosomatidae.
AUAUAGAACAAACAAAACAA